UCAGGGAUAAAUUCGCAGCCUGAGAGGGGGUGAGCUGACACUGUCCCAGCUGCCACCUAGACUCAGAGCUCCAUCCAGCUCUCCAGUGAAGACAUCCCAGCCAUGGCCAUGCAGAAAAUCUUUGCUCGGGAAAUCCUGGACUCCAGGGGCAACCCCACAGUGGAGGUGGACCUGCACACAGCCAAGGGCCAAUUCCAAGCAGCUGUGCCCAGUGGGGCUUCCACGGGUAUCUAUGAAGCUCUGGAACUAAGAGAUGGAAACAAAGCCCGCUAUCUGGGGAAAGGAGUCCUGAAGGCUGUGGAACACAUCAACAAGACUCUAGGCUCUGCUUUGCUGGAAAAGAAACUAAGUGUUGUGGAUCAAGAAAAAGCUGACAAAUUUAUGAUUGAGCUGGAUGGGACCGAGAAUAAGUCCAAGUUUGGGGCCAAUGCCAUCCUGGGCAUGUCCUUGGCCGUGCGUAAGGCGGGAGCAGCUGAGAAGGGGGGUCCCCCUGUACCGACACAUCGCAGAUCUCGCUGAGAACCCUGACCUCAUACUCCCAGUGCCAGCUUUCAACGUGAUCAACGGGGCCUCCCAUGCUGGAAACAAGCUGGCCAUGCAGGAGUUCAUGAUUCUGCCUGUGGGAGCCAGCUCCUUCAAAAGCCAUGCACAUUGGUGCUGAGGUCUACUACCACCUCAAGGGGGUAAUCAAGGCCAAGUAUGGGAAGGAUGCCACCAAUGUGGGUGAUGAAGGUGGCUUUGCACCCAACAUCCUGGAGAACAAUGAGGCCCUAGAGCUGCUGAAGACGGCCAUCCAGGCAGCUGGUUAUCCAGACAAGGUGGUGAUCGGCAUGGAUGUGGCAGCAUCUGAGUUCUAUCGCAAUGGGAAAUACGAUCUUGACUUCAAGUCACCUGAUGAUCCCGCACGGCGCAUCACUGGGGAGAAGUUCGGAGAGCUGUAUAAGAGCUUCAUCAAGAACUACCCUGUGGUCUCCAUCGAGGACCCCUUUGACCAGGAUGACUGGGCCACUUGGAUCUCGUUCCUCUCGGGAGUAGACAUCCAGAUUGUGGGGGAUGACCUGACAGUCACCAAGCCCAAGAGGAUUGCCCAGGCCAUUGAGAAGAAGGCCUGCAACUGUCUGCUGCUGAAGGUCAACCAGAUCAGCUGGGUGACUCAAUCGAUCCAGGCGUGCAAACUCACUCGGUCUAACGGCUGGGGAGUGAUGGUAAGCCACUGCUCUGGGGAGACUGAGGACACAUUCAUUGCUGACCUUGUGGUGGGGCUCUGCACAGGACAGAUCAAGACUGGCGCCCCCUGUCGCUCGGUGCGUCUGGCCAAAUACAAUCAACUCAUGAGGAUCGAGGAGGCUCCUGGGGACAAGGCUAUAUUUGCUGGACGGAAGUUCCGCAACCCGAAGGCCAAGUGAGAAGCUGGAGGCUCCAGGACUCCACUGGACAGACCCAGGUCUUCCAGACCUGCUUCCUGAAAUAAACACUGGUGCCAACCAA
Molecule: RNA transcript, 1488 nt
Organism: Cebus imitator (Panamanian white-faced capuchin)
Lineage: Eukaryota; Metazoa; Chordata; Mammalia; Primates; Cebidae
Gene name: beta-enolase-like
Exons: 1
Source: RefSeq, a predicted model, not a curated record